UACGGGAGGCAGCAGUGAGGAAUAUUGCGCAAUGGGGGCAACCCUGACACAGCGACGCCGCGUGGAUGAUGAAGGCCCUUGGGUCGUAAAAUCCUGUCAGAUGGAAAGAAAUGUACAGGUGUUAAUAUCGCCUGUAUUUGACGGUACCAUCAAAGGAAGCACCGGCUAACUCCGUGCCAGCAGCCGCGGUAAU
This 193-nucleotide ribosomal RNA is filed under the name uncultured bacterium. RNAcentral's name for it is "partial 16S rRNA". It matches the Rfam family "Bacterial small subunit ribosomal RNA", at positions 340 to 524 of the family's 1533-position model. The record is from RNAcentral.